This 72-nucleotide transfer RNA is filed under the name Ovis aries (sheep). It matches the Rfam family "tRNA". From Rfam's summary of the family: Transfer RNA (tRNA) molecules are approximately 80 nucleotides in length. Their secondary structure includes four short double-helical elements and three loops (D, anti-codon, and T loops). Lineage: Eukaryota; Metazoa; Chordata; Mammalia; Artiodactyla; Bovidae. The record is from Rfam by way of RNAcentral.
UCCCUGGUAGCUCAGAGGUUAAAGCAUCUGCCUGCAAUGCAGGAGAGCUAAGUUCGAUUCCUGGCUUGGGAA